UGGGUGGAUUAGUGGCGAACGGGUGAGUAACACGUGAGUAACCUGCCCUUAACUCUGGGAUAAGCCUGGGAAACUGGGUCUAAUACCGGAUAGGAGCGCCUACCGCAUGGUGGGUGUUGGAAAGAUUUAUCGGUUUUGGAUGGACUCGCGGCCUAUCAGCUUGUUGGUGAGGUAAUGGCUCACCAAGGCGACGACGGGUAGCCGGCCUGAGAGGGUGACCGGCCACACUGGGACUGAGACACGGCCCAGACUCCUACGGGAGGCAGCAGUGGGGAAUAUUGCACAAUGGGCGCAAGCCUGAUGCAGCGACGCCGCGUGAGGGAUGACGGCCUUCGGGUUGUAAACCUCUUUCAGUAGGGAAGAAGCGAAAGUGACGGUACCUGCAGAAGAAGCACCGGCUAACUACGUGCCAGCAGCCGCGGUAAUACGUAGGGUGCGAGCGUUAUCCGGAAUUAUUGGGCGUAAAGAGCUCGUAGGCGGUUUGUCGCGUCUGUCGUGAAAGUCCGGGGCUUAACCCCGGAUCUGCGGUGGGUACGGGCAGACUAGAGUGCAGUAGGGGAGACUGGAAUUCCUGGUGUAGCGGUGGAAUGCGCAGAUAUCAGGAGGAACACCGAUGGCGAAGGCAGGUCUCUGGGCUGUAACUGACGCU
Molecule: ribosomal RNA, 649 nt
Filed under: Micrococcus luteus
Lineage: Bacteria; Bacillati; Actinomycetota; Actinomycetes; Micrococcales; Micrococcaceae
Description: bacterial SSU rRNA
Rfam family: Bacterial small subunit ribosomal RNA
Source: RNAcentral